AUGGCUGAUGUGGCUUGUAUUAGAUGACAUGGCAUUAAAUAAAUGAGAUGACGUGGUUUUAAUUCCAUCCAGGUUAAAUUGGGCACAUCUCAUAUCUCGUUCUUCUACUUCUUCUUUUGAGUUUAGCCUCGUUGACAUGCCGUUUACCGUCCGAUUUGUCGUCGUUCGCUUGUAGUUUUCACUCGUUGUCCUUCUCGGUCUUGUUGACAUUGGAUCUUCUGCACUUCUCGCUGCUUCAGGCCUCGCUGUAGUUGUGUAGGCAGGCAACUUCUAAGGCACAUUCUUACACCUAAUUUGGAAGAUCUAUUUCAUAUGGUUGAUUGCGGGAUAGCAACUAAUGUGCCUAUUAUCCAUACAAAGCUCAAACCAAGAAAACCAUCUGAAAGGAUUAUUAAGAUCAAGCUCCGAAAUCCAAUUUUUGAUAAGGAUAAAAGUGGAUUUACACAGGACAAACCUGUCAUUAAUUUAGAACAGUAUAUUUAUGAACUGGAAUGGGACAAAACUCUAGCCGUUUGUGAUGUUUUUUUGAUACUUGGAACUUAGUAUUCCUAGCCUUUUGUAAUGUAUGUCCCCUUUUAACAUGUUUAUAUUCCUGCUAUAUUGUUAAUGGAGUGGUAUAACUGUUCCAUA
Lactuca sativa (garden lettuce) is the source of this 630-nucleotide long non-coding RNA. RefSeq lists it as uncharacterized. The record is from RefSeq and is a predicted model, not a curated record. Lineage: Eukaryota; Viridiplantae; Streptophyta; Magnoliopsida; Asterales; Asteraceae.